Molecule: long non-coding RNA, 334 nt
Organism: Oncorhynchus kisutch (coho salmon)
Lineage: Eukaryota; Metazoa; Chordata; Actinopteri; Salmoniformes; Salmonidae
Exons: 3
Source: RefSeq, a predicted model, not a curated record
GCUGAGCGCGAGGAAAACAGUUGAUCAGAACCAGGAAAUAGUCAUGAGUUUGAACUGUUUGUUAGACCGCGCUAAACAACGACAAAACACGAGUGUGACAUACUAUACCUGGGGCGUGUCGGCUCAGCCACUCAUCAAAGAUGGCGUCAGUGAAGGUGUGGAGCAGGACAAAGAUGGGGUCGUUAGGGGACAGGUGUGUCUGCCCUCCUGUCCCGUUGAGGAACAGAUAUCCUCUGAUCACAGUUCGGUCCGGUGAGUCCAUACCGGCACCGGCCACAGUUAUACCCCGCAAAGCUCCCGUUACACCGGCACGUCCGGUUAAAGAACCUUAACG